RNAcentral lists this ribosomal RNA (467 nucleotides) under uncultured bacterium. RNAcentral describes it as "partial 16S ribosomal RNA". It matches the Rfam family "Bacterial small subunit ribosomal RNA", at positions 28 to 506 of the family's 1533-position model. The record is from RNAcentral.
GACGAACGCUGGCGGCGUGCUUAGCACAUGCAAGUCGAACGGAAAGGCCCUGCUUUUGUGGGGUGCUCGAGUGGCGAACGGGUGAGUAACACGUGAGUAACCUGCCCUUGACUUUGGGAUAACUUCAGGAAACUGGGGCUAAUACCGGAUAGGAGCUCCUGCUGCAUGGUGGGGGUUGGAAAGUUUCGGCGGUUGGGGAUGGACUCGCGGCUUAUCAGCUUGUUGGUGGGGUAGUGGCUUACCAAGGCUUUGACGGGUAGCCGGCCUGAGAGGGUGACCGGCCAAAUUGGGACUGAGAUACCGCCCAGACUCCUACGGGAGGCAGCAGGGGGGAAUAUUGCACAAUGGGCGGAAGCCUGAUGCAGCAACGCCGGGGGCGGGAUGACGGCCUUCGGGUUGUAAACCGCUUUCGCCUGUGACGAAGCGUGGGUGACGGUAAUGGGUAAAGAAGCACCGGCUAACUACGU